This is a long non-coding RNA of Silurus meridionalis, 801 nucleotides long. RefSeq lists it as uncharacterized. The transcript has 3 exons. The record is from RefSeq and is a predicted model, not a curated record. NCBI's taxonomy places the organism in Eukaryota, Metazoa, Chordata, Actinopteri, Siluriformes, Siluridae.
AGAUAUUUGGAACUAUAUACAGUUGCCAGUUGAUAUUUUCUAGUCUUUGCUCAAUAUUAUAUUAUCCCCUUUUUCAGAUAAUUGAAGAUAUCCUAAAGACCAGCCCUGGAGGUGAAAAGAUUGCAAGUGAAUACGCUCGCACUAAAAGUCUGUCAGAUGGCCGAAGACGUGACAUGGUGAAAAUCUUGGUAGCACAUUUGACAAAUGAACAUGGGCCUUCGCGACACUUGAAGGAACAAUAUGCAAAGGGAAUCAUCUCCCUCUUCCCAAAUUUGGCUGACCCCAGGAGCAAACUUGGCUAUGGGCAUUAUUACAAUGCAGAAGAUGGAAGUGGAUUUUGGCAUGGAGAAUUAAAACUCUGCAAAAAGAAGCAUUGGAGGGUCGGAUGAAAUGCAGGCGCCACCACAAACAGGUGCAAGAUUUGAUGUUUAAUCAGUGCUUGGCUGCAAGGCUUGAUUAACAUGUUUUUUUUUUGCAACUUUAUUUAAAUAUUUUACUCAUCUUUACAUUUGUGACUUAUAUUUAAAGUAUUCUUUUGUUCUAUAGUGAGAAUGAGGUCACAUGUUAUAGUAUCUCAACAAAAUAUAAUUGCUUUUCUUUUUGAAUGUGAAAAGUUUUUCAUAAUUUCUAAAAAAUAAAUAAAUAAAUAAAUAAAAAUAAAAAAUACAGCUGACGAGGCAGUGGUAAAGGAAAAGAUGAUGUUAACACUGACCUAUCGCCAGAAGCUGCUUCAUGACCCUAAAGAGUCAACUGAUAUUCUCAAUUUUCCCCCGAUUCCAGGAUAUACCAGGCUUGGUAUGU